RNAcentral lists this ribosomal RNA (253 nucleotides) under uncultured bacterium. RNAcentral describes it as "partial 16S ribosomal RNA". It matches the Rfam family "Bacterial small subunit ribosomal RNA", at positions 524 to 776 of the family's 1533-position model. The record is from RNAcentral.
UACGGAGGGUGCAAGCGUUGUUCGGAAUCACUGGGCGUAAAGGGCGUGCAGGCGGUCUAUCAAGUCUGGUGUGAAAUCCCCUCGCUCAACGAGGGAACUGCGCCGGAAACUGACAGACUAGAGUACCGGAGAGGAAGGUGGAAUUCCCGGUGUAGCGGUGAAAUUCGUAGAUAUCAAGCAGAACACCUGCGGCGAAGGCGGCCUUCUGGACGAUGACUGACGCUGAGACGCGAAAGCGUGGGGAGCAAACAGG